Molecule: long non-coding RNA, 272 nt
Organism: Amphimedon queenslandica
Lineage: Eukaryota; Metazoa; Porifera; Demospongiae; Haplosclerida; Niphatidae
Exons: 2
Source: RefSeq, a predicted model, not a curated record
UAUACGGAAUUUAGCAUUGAUUGUAUCAAUGAUCAUGAAUUGAUCUCGUUCAUUUUGAUUUCAUCAUGAUUUGAUUGUUGUAGCUAGUAGAGAAUAGAUCUAUUUCAACUUUCAAGAUGGAAAGCUUGGAAAGACUAUAUUAGUAGUCCAUGACACUGACAAGUGACACUGUACCGCACUGCACUAAUCUCAGUGAUUUGAUAAUUAUGUAAGCAAUUGUUUUAAUCUAAAGUUGUCUAUGCAUGCAUUAUAUUUGUUUUUUGUGAAUUACG